AACAAAUGCUUAGAAAUUUUUUUCCCUGUGAAGGUUAGAUAGGUGUGCUCCAACUCUAGAGAUAUGAAAAUGUUGAACUUCCAGCACCAUCCACAUUAACAUGUAAAUUUUGCUCUGGUAAGAGAUGUCGUUGAUCCAGAAAAUCGCCAAUCACAAACAGAUUAACCAACAGAUUCUACUUGACAAGUUUCAUAUUGAAGAAUAGAUAAAUAUGAAAUUCUCAUAGGUGAGUAUAACAAUUUGAUUGAGCAAAAUGAAUAUUAGUAACUUUAAACCCAUAGGUUGCUGGCUAAUGUUUCUAUGUUCUUAUCAAAUAGUAGAAGUAGUUUGAAUUAGAUGAUAUCUUCUUCUAAAAACAGAAUCAUUCAGGACGUAUGCAAUUCAUUGAUUCGCUUAUGGUGCACUUGAAGACUUUGACCUUGCUGUAAAAAAGGUAAGGCAGGCUAAUCGUUCCUUCUAGAGUUUGCUCAUAACUGUGUUAAUUCCUCCUUCAGUUGAAAGUAAGAUGUGAUGAUACACGAAUAAGUCCUUGAACUAGUUAUGUAUUAUUUCCUUAAAGAUGUCAUUUGUAUUGAAAAUACUACCUCUAAAGUAAAUUGUAGUUGCCUUGUCACUCGAAAAUGGAAGUGUGUUGAGAAAUUGAUCAUAGUUUAAAAUGUCAAUGUACAGAGGGAAUAGUCUAAUAGCUGGUGCAAAGUGUCUAAGCAAAGUCCAUCCCAAAAGUCAUUUUAUAUUACUUAAUAGUUUAAAUUAAGUAAGGUUAUUUUGGUAUAUAUAAUAUUUUGCAAAGGAUAUUUUUGUUAGGAAGAAAAGUCAAAACUGCUUCUGCUUCUGUAGAGAAGCUACUUUUUUCUGCUUUUUCAAAACUGCCUUCUAGCCAAAAGCACUUGUUUUUCAAAAACAAGCUUGGCCAAACACCUCAAAUUUUUGAAAAAAAAGCACUUCUGGCAUGGUGAGAAACUUGGCCAAAAAGGCUACUAGUCCUCUGUUCACGGUAUCAGUUAUCAAUUGUUGUCCUACAUUGUUUGACUAAGAUGUGCAAGCCAGAUAUAAUGCUCGAGAAGUAGGCUUUGGAACUACCAACUAUACUUAUGGUCAUGUGGUAGAUACAUUAGUGGUUGUUGACUAAUCUUUCUAUUGUUAAGUUGAGAUUAAUGAAGUAUCAAAUAUAUGUUUAAUGAAACUAGGAUUAAUGAUAUUUUCAAAUAAAUUUACUACUUUGAGACUUGUAUUUCUUUACAAAUUCUCGUUGUAUAUGACUUUUGAGAAUUCCUUUUUGUCUAGACUUUUUGUUGCUUAUGAAGGGUGUACCCUUUGAUCUCAGCUAUCACCACAAAAAGAAUAUGCAUAAGUAGAGUUUAGAUCAUGAGCAUCGUUUGACAAUUAUGAAUUUCUGAAUUUUGUGCGCCUGGAUCAAACUAUUUUGUAUAACUUUGCUUAGUCAUGUUGUCUCUUUGCUUUCUUAAUUGUGUUUGGCAAUCUUUAUUGUGGUCACCCCUUUUACAGUUUACUAUCAUCAUUAAAUUAUGACAUUGUCACACUGAUUUUUUGUGUUUUUUUCCCUUAAUGACAGGGACAAGGCUCUUAAACAAAUCAUAAAUAUGGCACCGACCGAGGAGUUUGAAGGCACUUAAUUUUUUUUGGUCAUAUGUAUAUGUGUUUAUUGACAAUGACAAUGAUGUAUUUCGUAGUGUAUAU
RNAcentral lists this long non-coding RNA (1698 nucleotides) under Nicotiana tabacum (common tobacco). RNAcentral's name for it is "long non-coding RNA (NTAB_LNC010365)". Lineage: Eukaryota; Viridiplantae; Streptophyta; Magnoliopsida; Solanales; Solanaceae. The record is from RNAcentral.